UCCCUGGUGGUCCAGUGGUUAAGACUCCAAACUCCCAAUGUAGGGCACCCAAGUUUGAUCCCUGGUCAGGGAA
Bos taurus (domestic cattle) is the source of this 73-nucleotide non-coding RNA. The record is from Rfam. Lineage: Eukaryota; Metazoa; Chordata; Mammalia; Artiodactyla; Bovidae.